GCCUGGCUGGCUCAGUUGGUAGAGCAUGAGACUCUUAAUCCCAGGGUCAUGUGUUCGAGUCCCACAUUGGGCA
This is a non-coding RNA of Chiloscyllium plagiosum (whitespotted bambooshark), 73 nucleotides long. The record is from the annotation of a RefSeq genome assembly. NCBI's taxonomy places the organism in Eukaryota, Metazoa, Chordata, Chondrichthyes, Orectolobiformes, Hemiscylliidae.